RNAcentral lists this long non-coding RNA (3389 nucleotides) under Cricetulus griseus (Chinese hamster). RNAcentral's name for it is "lncRNA (ENSCGRG00015040741.1)". Lineage: Eukaryota; Metazoa; Chordata; Mammalia; Rodentia; Cricetidae. The record is from RNAcentral.
UAUAAACUAUGAUUGUUAGACCCCCGAAAACUCAAGUAUCCGGGGUCCCAGGCCACGUUCUCGGUCACCCCAAUCACCAGGCAGAUUCGAGAGCUUGCUGCAAAUUGCAUGAGGCUUUAUUGUAGUUUAACAAGCUAACCCCAUGUUAGCUCGGGUCUUUGACCCACCCACCAUGGGACUCCCGAAAGAUCUUAUAGGGCAGCGUAAGGGGAGUGUAUGAGUAAAAUAAUACAGAGACAUCCCAUGUCCCUUCCACAAUGCAGAAAUUUGACAUGGAGGUGAACAUUUGGUUAUGAGAGUGAAAUCUGUGUCACAGAAGCUGUCUGUGACAUUAAUUGGAAGCAUGGCAAAAGGAGGAGGCAGGUCUUGGUCACAAAGCUGAUAUGUAGUCAUGGAACCCUGUGUAAGGGGAAAGGGCCAGCCAAAGAAACACACCCUGAGCAGAGCCAAAAGAAACACACUUUGGCCCAGCAACAAGAGCCAAAGAAAUGCACCCUGACCCUGAAACCAGUGCCAAAGAAAUACACUUUGUCCCUGGAAUCAGAGCCAGUGAAAGAAAGACACCCUGGCCCUAAAAUUAGAGCCAAAAGGCUAAAAAGGACCAGCGAAAGAAACAUACUUUGGGCCUGAAGCCUGAGCUAAAUCUGCCCCUGGCCCUGAGCAGAAAACUAACCAAUUCCUGAACAGGAGAUAUAGCCAUUCUGAGCUCAGGGAUUGAAAUCUGACCAAACCCCACUCUGGAAAUCUCUUUGGAAAAACUCCACCCCUAAGAAUCCCUAUAUAAUCCCUGUGCCUGUUCAGCUUGUGGCUAUAGGGAUGCCUGGCUGUCCUCUGCCACCCUGGCGGAGGGCAACCACUCUCCUGGAUUCUUCCCUCCCAAUAAAUCCCUUGAAUGGAGUUUGGCUUGAAGAACUUAAAAAUCAACAAAGAAAUAAAAUAAGGAGGCUUAGAAAAACCUCCCAUACUAAAAGCAGGGCGGCCUGACUUAAAAGUCUAACCAAAGCCACAAUGACUGGAGUCCCUGGAAUUUUCUAGCCGGCCGCAAUAACUCCCUUACAAGGCCGCAAGAUAGCCUAACUAAAUACCAAGAAUUUCCAAAGGGCCACCCCCCCAUGGGGUCAUGAAGAUAAGAACAGACUAUCCCACCAGUUAAUGUAGCAACAAUUGACAAAAGAGAGUCCUUGAGAAACCAAAGAGAUAGCAGCAAUUGCUGUUUGCUCAGGCAAGAGAGAUCAGCACAUUCUGUGGGCUGUUGACCCAACUGGUGAGUCAGGAGACCAUCUGGCCCCAAAGAUAAGAGACCUUCAAAGGACCUGUGACUCUGGUCACGUACCCGAGCCCCCUCCCCUCCCUAAAAACUUGUGGUUUCUUCCUAUAAAAGAGGCCUGCUUUUGAGGAACAGGGCUUCCUUUGUCUGCUGGACUGGGAGGCCUGUUUGCACAAAUGUCCCGCAAUAAACUUACCAAUGUCCAGCUGGACUGGACAUUGAGGUUUUUUGGGGGAAACUGUCCCAUUUGUGGAGGCUCCUCACUCUGAGGGUCUUUUAGGCUAAGACCAGACCUUCUUUCAGAGGAGCAGAGAAGACCCUUGGAAGAGCAAAGUGGAGCAGAGCAGGAAUGUAACACUUUUCAUGGGAAACCUUCCCCUAGCAAAACAUAGUUGUUGCACUCUGGAGAUCAGAGCCCUCCCCUACCGGAGCAGAGCUGAUAUACUGGGGAAGCCUUCCCUGGAGCCGGGCUGUAAGCUGCUACACUUACUGUAACCUGUGGUAUUCUGUGGUUCCAGAGUGCCAGAAUAAUUUUCCAUCUGAGCUGUAACACUUAGUAUUCAGUGGUCCCGAGUGCCAGAAUCCCUGUCCCUGACCUAUCAUAGAGUUUACAACCUGGAAACAGAAUUCUGUGAAAGGGAGCUGUAAGUUGAGGUACAUAGGUUGUACCUCACAAGGUUCUGGUAAUCAUACCUUUCAAUUUAAAAUAUUAGGAAACCUGGGGCUGGGGAGAUGGCUUAGCGGUUGAGAGCCCUGGCUGGUCUUCCAGAGGUCCUGAGUUCAAUUCCCAGCAACCAUUUAUAAUGUUAUCUGGUGCCCUCUUCUGGCAUGUAGACAUACACAUGUUAGGGUCCACGGAACAUCCCAUAAAACAAUGACAGCCACUCACAUAUGCAAUCAGCAAAAGCAUUGUUUAUUCCAGCAUUUCAGUGUCUGCCAGCCAGACAACAAAAAGGCUGCAACCCCAGAGCUCACAGGCUCCCUUUAUAGGCAGCCAGAAGGAGAUUAGGUCAUCCUGAACCUGAUUGUCUGGGGAUGCUCUUCUGCUUUAACAGUAUAGAAAGCGAAAGUGAAACUGGAACUGAGGUCUAACAAGGUACAGAAACUGAAAGUGAAACUAAACUGGGACUCAGGCCUAGCAGAGGCUGGGACCAGGGAAAAGCCUGCCCCUGGAUGGAGCUACUGUGGCCUCUUGUUCCCCUUGAGUUAGGUUUCAUCUGGAAUCCUAGAGCUGUCUCCUUACCAGGGCCUAAUGGGUCCUGACCUACUGGUUUGUACUGAUGUCUCAGGACCAACAGCUGCACUGUAGAGAUCUGCUCUUUGACAUUUGGCCAGAGCAUUGAUCAUGCAAGGUCUACAGGUGAGGGCCAACAUCAGAAGGACCAAGGGACUAAUCAGGGCAGAUACCAGAGUCACCAGCCAGGAUGAAAGUAAAAGAGAAACUCAGACCAUCCCUCAUCUCGUUUCCUUUCUAAUUGUCUAUUAUAUAGUCUUUUCCUGAGGAGGUCCAUGGAGUUGUCCCUGACAACAGCUGAGUGGUUGAUAUAGAAACAACAUUGUUCUCCUAGAGCCAGACAAAGACGUUCUUGUAAAAACAGCAAGCCUAGUCCCUUUCUAUUCUGGAAUCCUACCUUUGCCAAGAAAGAGAGGUACUCUUCUCUUUCUUGUCUAUCUAGAAAAGGUGAUAGACUUUUCUAGAGUGGCUAUGUCAGCAUCAAUAGCCAUACUUAAGGCUUUAUAGUUCUGGUACUGGAGAACAAAAACUGGCAUUCCUGGACCUAUAACCCCAGCUAGGCCAAGGUCUAGGAGGGAUGACACAAAGGUAGCCAUGAAAACCUCCCAUUUGGCUUAUUCUGCUGGUCUUAGCCAGUACAAAAUCUCCCCUUCAGCCAGGCAUUGGUGGCGCAUGCCUUUAAUCCCAGCACUCAGGAGGCAGAGGCAGGUGGAUCUCUGUGAGUUCGAGGCCAGCCUGGUCUCCAGAGUGAGUGCCAGGAUUGAAAGGUUCAGGCAUUAUGCUGGCCUGCCCCUGUUACCUGGUGGAAUCCACUCAGGCAGAACCCUGGUCAGCCCUAGGUUCCAUGGGAACUAAGUCUGCACGCAGGUGCAGAGGACCCCUUUAAAA